This 253-nucleotide ribosomal RNA is filed under the name uncultured bacterium. RNAcentral describes it as "partial 16S ribosomal RNA". It matches the Rfam family "Bacterial small subunit ribosomal RNA", at positions 524 to 776 of the family's 1533-position model. The record is from RNAcentral.
UACGGGGGGGGCAAGCGUUGUUCGGAAUUACUGGGCGUAAAGCGCGUGUAGGCGGCCCGGUAAGUCCGCUGUGAAAGUCGGGGGCUCAACCCUCGAAUGCCGGUGGAUACUGUCGGGCUAGAGUGCGGAAGAGGCGAGUGGAAUUCCUGGUGUAGCGGUGAAAUGCGCAGAUAUCAGGAGGAACACCAAUUGCGAAGGCAGCUCGCUGGGACGUGACUGACGCUGAGACGCGAAAGCGUGGGGAGCAAACAGG